AUCUCGGUCGGCACUUUUAUUAUUCUCAAAGCCGCAAGAGGAAAACUGGAAAUCAUGUCUACGGCGGGCCAGUCAGAACGCGCAAUUUCAUAUGCCUCUUUAAUAUUACAUGAUUGCGGCAUUUCUAUCACAGAGGCAAAACUUUUGGCUUUAUUGAAUGCAGCAAAAAUAACAGUUGAGCCAUACUGGAUUUCUCUAUUUAAUAGAGCCCUUCAGUCUGUGACGAUUGAUUCGUUAAUUUUCAGUGUAGGAGCUUCUCCUAGUAGUGCUGCUGUGUCUGCGCCCACGGAAGUCCCGGCCGAAUCUGCUGAAUCUAAAGAACCUGAGGCCGAAAGCAAGAAGAAGGAAGAAUCUGAAGACGAAGGUGCAGAUAUGUCAUUUGGUAUAUUUGAUGACGAAGACUAUUAAGUCCUUUCUCUCCCUUUAAUGCCCCUUCCCCUCUUUUCAGCCCUCUCUACCAUUUUUCUCUGAUAACGCAAUAAAAAAUUUUUAGCUAUC
Schistocerca gregaria is the source of this 498-nucleotide long non-coding RNA. RefSeq lists it as uncharacterized. The transcript has 3 exons. NCBI's taxonomy places the organism in Eukaryota, Metazoa, Arthropoda, Insecta, Orthoptera, Acrididae. The record is from RefSeq and is a predicted model, not a curated record.